CCUACGGGUGGCAGCAGUGAGGAAUAUUGGUCAAUGGACGAGAGUCUGAACCAGCCAAGUAGCGUGAAGGAUGACUGCCCUAUGGGUUGUAAACUUCUUUUAUAAGGGAAUAAAGCGAGGCAUGUGUACCUCUUUGCAUGUACUUUAUGAAUAAGGAUCGGCUAACUCCGUGCCAGCAGCCGCGGUAAUACGGAGGAUCCGAGCGUUAUCCGGAUUUAUUGGGUUUAAAGGGAGCGUAGAUGGGUUGUUAAGUCAGUUGUGAAAGUUUGCGGCUCAACCGUAAAAUUGCAGUUGAUACUGGCAGCCUUGAGUACAGUUGAGGUAGGCGGAAUUCGUGGUGUAGCGGUGAAAUGCUUAGAUAUCACGAAGAACCCCGAUUGCGAAGGCAGCUUACUAGACUGUGACUGACACUGAUGCUCGAAAGUGUGGGUAUCAAACAGGAUUAGAUACCCCUGUAGUC
Molecule: ribosomal RNA, 460 nt
Filed under: uncultured bacterium
Lineage: Bacteria
Description: partial 16S ribosomal RNA
Rfam family: Bacterial small subunit ribosomal RNA
Source: RNAcentral